Molecule: small nuclear RNA, 107 nt
Organism: Gorilla gorilla gorilla (western lowland gorilla)
Lineage: Eukaryota; Metazoa; Chordata; Mammalia; Primates; Hominidae
Source: Ensembl
GCACUCACUUUGGCAGCACAUAUACUGAAAUUAGAAUGAUACAGAGUAGAUUAGCAUGGCCCUUGUGCAAGGAUGACAUGCAAAUUCAUUAUGCAUUCCAUAUUUUU